CAGUAGCCGCGGUAAUACGGAGGGUGCAAGCGUUAAUCGGAAUUACUGGGCGUAAAGCGCACGCAGGCGGUCUGUCAAGUCGGAUGUGAAAUCCCCGGGCUCAACCCGGGAACUGCAUUCGAAACUGGCAGGCUAGAGUCUUGUAGAGGGGUGUAGAAUUCCAGGUGUAGCGGUGAAAUGCGUAGAGAUCUGGAGGAAUACCGGUGGCGAAGGCGGCCCCCUGGACAAAGACUGACGCUCAGGUGCGAUAGCGUGGGGAGCAAACAGGAUUAGAUACCCCAGUAGUCCCUGUCUCUUAUAA
RNAcentral lists this ribosomal RNA (301 nucleotides) under uncultured bacterium. Its description in RNAcentral is "partial 16S ribosomal RNA". It matches the Rfam family "Bacterial small subunit ribosomal RNA", at positions 509 to 809 of the family's 1533-position model. The record is from RNAcentral.